GGGGGGAAAUUAAUAAAUUAUAAAUAAUAAAAAAAUUUUUGAUAUUGGGGGGUAUUGAAGUAUUUUUUUUAAAAAAAAUAAUUUAAUUUAUAGAAAAUUAGUAUUGUAAAAUAAAUUUGAAAUAGUUGAAAAUAAAUUAAUAAUAAAGUAAUUUUUGUUUAAUGUAUCUUGUGUAUCAGAGUUUAUUAAAAAAUAUUUUUUAAAUAAAAAAAUCUCGAAUUUAAAAGAGUUAAUUAAUUAUAAAAGUUAAUGUAGAAAAAUUAUUUUAAAUAAUUAAUUUGAAAUGAAAUGUUAAUCGUUUUUAAAUAUAUCUAGUUAUUUUAGAAAAAAAUUUAAUUUUAAAUUUAAAAAAUUUUAUUUUUAAUUAUAAUUAAAAAUAAAAUUUUUAAAAUUAAAUAUAUUAAGGGAUAAGCUUUAUUAUAAAAAUUUAUAAAAAAAAAAUAAAUUAAAAAUAAAAAUUUUAAGAUUUAUAUUGUUUAAAAAUUAUAAUUUGUUAAAAAAAAUUUUAUUUUUAAUAAAAUUUAAUAAAAAAUUUAAUUUUAUAUAAAAUAAUAAUAAGAAUAAAAAAAAAUUAGUAAUAAUGAUAAAAUUAGUAUAUUAUAUUAAAAUAAUAAUUUAAUUAAUUUAAAUUAAAUUAAAGGAAUUCGGCAAAAUUAUAUAUUCACUUGUUUAUCAAAAACAUGUCUUUUAGUUAAUAAUUUAAAGUCUAAUCUGCCCACUGAUAAUUAUAUUAAAGGGCUGCAGUAUAUUGACUGUACAAAGGUAGCAUAAUCAUUAGUCUUUUAAUUGAAGACUUGUAUGAAAGAUUUGAUGAAAUAUAAACUGUCUCUAGUUUAAAGUUAAAAUUUAAUUUUUUAGUUAAAAAGCUAAAAUAAAUUUAAAAGACGAGAAGACCCUAUAGAGUUUUAUAUUAAAAUUAUUUAAGAUUAUAAAUAUAAAUAAAAAUUAAAAAUAAAAUUAAUAUUUUAUUGGGGUGAUAAAAAAAUUAAUAUAACUUUUUUUAAAAAAAGCCAUAAAUAAAUGAUUAAUUGAUCCAUUUUUUAUGAUUAAAAGAAAAAAUUACCUUAGGGAUAACAGCGUAAUAUUUUUUUUUAGUACAAAUAAAAAAAAAAGUUUGCGACCUCGAUGUUGGAUUAAGAUAAAAUUUGAAUGUAAAAGUUUAAAAUUUUGAUCUGUUCGAUCAUUAAAAUCUUACAUGAUCUGAGUUCAAACCGGUGUGAGCCAGGUUGGUUUCUAUCUUUAAAACAAAUAAAUAUUUUAGUACGAAAGGAUCAGAUAUUUUUAAUAAUUAAAAUUUAAUGAAUAUUAAUAAUAAUAAUAAAUUAU
RNAcentral lists this ribosomal RNA (1326 nucleotides) under Limenitis moltrechti. RNAcentral describes it as "16S ribosomal RNA". The record is from RNAcentral. Lineage: Eukaryota; Metazoa; Arthropoda; Insecta; Lepidoptera; Nymphalidae.